AAUUAUUAAUUACACCCACAAUUUUUAUACUUUUAUAAAAUUUACUAAAAACAUUACCAAGUUAAGUAAAGGUGAUUAAAACUUAGUUUCCCGGGUUAGCGAAAUAGUACUGAAAAGGAAAUAUUAUUUAAUUUUUCAAAAGAAGAUAUAAACCCUCGUACCUUUUGUAUCAUGGUUUAGCUAGAAUUAAAUUUCAAAUCAAAAAUCUCGAAAUCUAAUGAGCUAUCUUGAUUCAUUAUAUUAGAAAAAACAAGAGUAGUUGUGGCAAAAACUUUCUUAGAAAUCAAGAUAGAAAUGAAAUUUUUUCCGUAUUAGAUGAUAGCUAGUUUCCCCCUAAAAGUAUAGAAGUACUCAAAAUUAACGUUUUUAUACUAAAUAUUUUAAAUUUAUAUAAAAAUCUAAUUUUAACAAGCCCUAGAGGAUGAGCUCUAAGGUUAAUAAGAACUCGGCAUAUAAAUUUCUUAUUAAAUUUAAGCUUGAAAAUAGCCAUAAUACUGAGAUUUUGUUACAAUUUCAUUUAUCUUCCUGCAAAUAUAAUUAAUUUAUCUACAAGACGGGGGAUUAGGCUGAAAAUAAUUCAUUACAGCUUAUAUUAAUGCUAAAAUGAGUAUUUAUAUAUAAUUUAUAAGUGACUUAACUAAGAUAAAUUAUUUAAGUUUAUAAACAGCUCUUUUAUAUAAAUAAACUUACGUAAAGGAACUCGGCAAAACACUGCUCCGCCUGUUUAUCAAAAACAUGGCUCCUUGAUUCACCCCCCCAUAAGGAGUCGGACCUGCCCAGUGAAUUAAUUUUUUAACGGCCGCGGUACUCUGACCGUGCAAAGGUAGCAUAAUCAUUUGCCCUAUAAUUGAGGGCUAGUAUGAAUGGUUUGACGUGAGCAAGACUGUCUCUGCGUAAAUUUAUAGAACUUGAUUUUUAGGUGAAGAAACCUAAAUUUUAUUGAUAGACAAGAAGACCCUAUUGAGCUUUAAAAAAGUAGGUAGAGAAUAAUAUAUAAAUUUAAAUAUUAAUCUAUUUUAAAUUUUGGUUGGGGCGACUAAGGAACAAACAAAGCUUCUUUAAUACCUUUAUACUGACAAGUUUUGAUCCAGAAAUUCUGAUUAAUGGAAAUAGUUACCAUAGGGAUAACAGCAUAAUUUUCUUUGAGAGUCCUUAUCGAAAAGAAAGUUUGUGACCUCGAUGUUGGACUAGAAUAUCCUGAAGAUGCAGCAGUCUUUAAGGGUUGGUCUGUUCGACCAUUAAAAUUCUACAUGAUCUGAGUUCAGACCGGCGUGAGCCAGGUCAGUUUCUAUCUUCAAUUACAAUGCUUUAAAUUUAGUACGAAAGGACCAAUUUAACAUAAAAAUUAUUAUAUUAGAUGCAAUAUAAUGCCCGAAUAAAUAAUUAGUAAACACUCAAUA
This 1400-nucleotide ribosomal RNA is filed under the name Monetaria caputserpentis. RNAcentral describes it as "16S ribosomal RNA". It matches the Rfam family "Bacterial large subunit ribosomal RNA", at positions 422 to 2769 of the family's 2925-position model. Lineage: Eukaryota; Metazoa; Mollusca; Gastropoda; Littorinimorpha; Cypraeidae. The record is from RNAcentral.